Molecule: ribosomal RNA, 612 nt
Filed under: Paracoccus sp. J987
Lineage: Bacteria; Pseudomonadati; Pseudomonadota; Alphaproteobacteria; Rhodobacterales; Paracoccaceae
Description: bacterial SSU rRNA
Rfam family: Bacterial small subunit ribosomal RNA
Source: RNAcentral
GAGUAACGCGUGGGAACGUGCCCUUUGCUACGGAAUAGCCCCGGGAAACUGGGAGUAAUACCGUAUGUGCCCCUUGGCCUUGUCGGCUUUGGGGGAAAGAUUUAUCGGCAAAGGAUCGGCCCGCGUUGGAUUAGGUAGUUGGUGGGGUAUGGCCCACCAAGCGGCGAUCCAUAGCUGGUUUGAGAGGAUGAUCAAGCCCCACUGGGACUGAGGCACGGCCCAGACUCCUACGGGAGGCAGCAGUGGGGAAUCUUAGACAAUGGGGCAACCCUGAUCUAGCCAUGGCGCGUGAGUGAUGAAGGCCUUAGGGUUGUAAAGCUCUUUCAGCUGGGAAGAUAAUGACGGUACCAGCAGAAGAAGCUCCGGCUAACUCCGUGCAGCAGCCGCGGUAAUACGGAGGGGGCUAGCGUUGUUCGGAAUUACUGGGCGUAAAGCGCACGUAGGCGGACCGGACAGUCAGAGGUGAAAUCCCAGGGCUCAACCUUGGAACUGCCUUUGAAACUAUCGGUCUGGAGUUCGAGAGAGGUGAGUGGAAUUCCGAGUGUAGAGGUGAAAUUCGUAGAUAUUCGUAGCAUCGUCAUCGUGAAAUUCAUCCUGGUGCAGGAUUAGAUA